GAGUGUUAAAGCAAGCAAUCGCUACGAAUACAUUAGCAUGGAAUAAUGAAUAGGACGUUCGAACCUAUUUGUUGUUCUAAGGAUCGACGUAAUGAUUGAUAGGGAUAGUUGGGGGCAUUAGUAUUCAAUUGUCAGAGGUGAAAUUCUUGGAUUUAUUGAAGACUAACUACUGCGAAAGCAUUUGCCAAGGAUGUUUUCAUUAAUCAAGAACGAAAGUUAGGGGAUCGAAGACGAUCAGAUACCGUCGUAGUCUUAACCAUAAACUAUGCCGACUAGGGAUCGGAUGAUGUUAAUUUUAUAAUGACUCAUUCGGCGCCUUACU
This 322-nucleotide ribosomal RNA is filed under the name uncultured Glomus. Its description in RNAcentral is "SSU rRNA". It matches the Rfam family "Eukaryotic small subunit ribosomal RNA", at positions 769 to 1092 of the family's 1831-position model. Lineage: Eukaryota; Fungi; Glomeromycota; Glomeromycetes; Glomerales; Glomeraceae. The record is from RNAcentral.